Molecule: ribosomal RNA, 293 nt
Filed under: uncultured bacterium
Lineage: Bacteria
Description: partial 16S ribosomal RNA
Rfam family: Bacterial small subunit ribosomal RNA
Source: RNAcentral
CUUGUCCUACGGGGCGCAGCAGUGAGGAAUAUCGGUCAAUGGGCGCGAGCCUGAACCAGCCAAGUCGCGUGAGGGAGGACGGCCCUACGGGUUGUAAACCUCUUUUGCCGGGGAGCAACGGGCGUCACGUGUGGCGCCACUGAGAGUACCCGGAGAAAAAGCAUCGGCUAACUCCGUGCCAGCAGCCGCGGUAAUACGGAGGAUGCGAGCGUUAUCCGGAUUUAUUGGGUUUAAAGGGUGCGUAGGCGGAGCGUUAAGGCAGUGGUCAAAUUGAGGGGCUCAACCCCUUCCCG